GCCAGGCAUGGUGGUGCAUGCCUGUAAUCCCAGCUACUUGGGAGGCUGAGGCACGAGAAUUGCUUGAACCCAGGAGGCGGAGGUUGCAGUGAGCUGAGGUCACGCCACUGCACUUCAGCCUGGGCAACAGAGCAAGACUCUGUCUUAA
Molecule: unclassified non-coding RNA, 148 nt
Organism: Pongo abelii (Sumatran orangutan)
Lineage: Eukaryota; Metazoa; Chordata; Mammalia; Primates; Hominidae
Rfam family: Metazoan signal recognition particle RNA
About the family: The signal recognition particle (SRP) is a universally conserved ribonucleoprotein. It is involved in the co-translational targeting of proteins to membranes. The eukaryotic SRP consists of a 300-nucleotide 7S RNA and six proteins: SRPs 72, 68, 54, 19, 14, and 9.
Source: Ensembl